This 64-nucleotide transfer RNA is filed under the name Mordellidae sp. GENSP01. Its description in RNAcentral is "tRNA-Phe". Lineage: Eukaryota; Metazoa; Arthropoda; Insecta; Coleoptera; Mordellidae. The record is from RNAcentral.
AUUCAAGUAGCUUAUAUUAGAGCGUGAUACUGAAGAUAUUAAGGAGAUUUAUAAUUCUUGGAUA